UAAUUGUGAAAUCCCAAAGCUUAACUUUGGAACUGCAAUUAAAACUGCUCGACUAGAGUAUGAUAGAGGAAAGCGGAAUACAUAGUGUAGAGGUGAAAUUCGUAGAUAUUAUGUAGAACACCAGUUGCGAAGGCGGCUUUCUGGAUCAACACUGACGCUGAGGCGCGAAAGUAUGGGUAGCAAAGAGGAUUAGAUACCCUCCUAGUCCAUACCAUAAACGAUGAUUGCUAGAUGUUGGAAAUUUAUUUUCAGAUAUCGCAGCUAACGCAUUAAGCAAUCCGCCUGGGGAGUACGACCGCACGGUUAAACACGUCGGAUGAGUUGAGGGGGGACCCCGCAAGCGGUGGAGCAUGUGGUUUAAUUCGAAGAUACGCGCAGAACCGUACCAACCCUCGACAUGUCUGUCGCGAGUUUAGGAAACUAGACUUUUCGGUUCGGCCGGACAGAACACAGGUGCUGCAUGGCUGUCGUCAGCUCGUGUCGUGAGAUGUUGGGUUAAGUCCCGCAACGAGCGCAACCCCUACUUUUAGUUGCCAUCAGGUAAUGCUGGGCACUCUGAAAGAACUGCCAGUGAUAAGUUGGAGGAAGGUGGGGAUGACGUCAAGUCCUCAUGGCCCUUACGGGUUGGGCUACACACGUGAUAUCAAUGGUAGUGACAAUGAGA
RNAcentral lists this ribosomal RNA (664 nucleotides) under uncultured bacterium. RNAcentral's name for it is "bacterial SSU rRNA". It matches the Rfam family "Bacterial small subunit ribosomal RNA", at positions 589 to 1247 of the family's 1533-position model. The record is from RNAcentral.